GUGCCAGCAGCCGCGGUAAAACGUAGGAGGCAAGCGUUAUCCGGAGUUACUGGGCGUAAAGCGCGUGUAGGUGGAUUGGUAAGUUACUUAUGAAAGCCCUUGGCUAAACUAAGGGAGGUUGAGUGAUACUGCCAGUCUUGAAUAGAGGAGAGGUUGACGGAAUUCCGCGUGUAGUGGUGAAAUGCGUAGAGAUGCGGAAGAACACCAGUGGCGAAGGCGGUCAACUGGCCUCAUAUUGACACUCAGACGCGACAGCAUGGGUAGCGAACGGGAUUAGAUACCCCCGUAGUCC
Molecule: ribosomal RNA, 292 nt
Filed under: uncultured bacterium
Lineage: Bacteria
Description: partial 16S ribosomal RNA
Rfam family: Bacterial small subunit ribosomal RNA
Source: RNAcentral